Molecule: ribosomal RNA, 901 nt
Filed under: uncultured crenarchaeote
Lineage: Archaea; Thermoproteati; Thermoproteota
Description: bacterial SSU rRNA
Rfam family: Archaeal small subunit ribosomal RNA
Source: RNAcentral
ACUCCACUGCUAUCGGGGUAAGGCUAAGCCAUGCAAGUCGAAGGCCUCCGGCUCCGGGGGCCUGGCGUACGGCUGAGUAACGCGUGGCCAACCUGCCCUGCGGAGGGGGAUAACCCCGGGAAACUGGGGAUAAACCCCCAUAGGUGACCGGGUCUGGAAGGACCGGUCGCCGAAAGUCCCGGUCGGGGAUGCUCCGGCCGGGAGCCGCAGGAUGGGGCUGCGUCCUAUCAGGUAGUUGGUGGGGUAACGGCCCACCAAGCCUGUGACGGGUAGGGGCCCUGAGAGGGGGAGCCCCCAGAUGGACUCUGAGACAAGAGUCCAGGCCCUACGGGGCGCAGCAGGCGCGAAAACUCCGCAAUGCGCUCACGCGUGACGGGGUUACCCCGAGUGCCACCCUCGUGGUGGCUUUUGCGCGGUCUAAAAAGCCGCGCGAAUAAGCGGGGGGCAAGACGGGUGUCAGCCGCCGCGGUAAUACCCGCUCCGCGAGUGGUGAGGACUAUUACUGGGCUUAAAGCGUCCGUAGCCGGCCCGGCGUGCUCCGCGUUAAAUCCAGCAGCCUAACUGCUGGGCUGCGCGGAUGACUGCCGGGCUUGGGGGUGGGAGAGGGCGGCGGUAUUCCCGGGGUAGGGGUAAAAUCCACUGAUCCCGGGAGGACCACCAGUGGCGAAGGCGGCCGCCCAGAACACGCCCGACGGUGAGGGACGAAAGCUGGGGGAGCGAUCGGGAUUAGAUACCCCGGUAGUCCCAGCCGUAAACGAUGCGGGCUUGGUGUCGGGCUGGCCACGAGCCAGCCCGGUGCAGAAGGGAAACCAUUAAGCCCGCCGCCUGGGGAGUACGGCCGCAAGGCUGAAACUUAAAGGAAUUGGCGGGGGAGCACCACAAGGGGUGGACGUUGCGGCUU